This 108-nucleotide non-coding RNA is filed under the name Chinchilla lanigera (long-tailed chinchilla). The record is from RNAcentral. Lineage: Eukaryota; Metazoa; Chordata; Mammalia; Rodentia; Chinchillidae.
GUGUUGUAUGAAAGGAGAGAAGGUUAGCACUCCCCUUGACAAGGAUGGAAGAGGCCCUUGGGCCUGACAACAAGAAGCACAGAAAAUUUCCACUAUCUAAAUUUCUUU